RNAcentral lists this ribosomal RNA (478 nucleotides) under uncultured bacterium. Its description in RNAcentral is "partial 16S ribosomal RNA". It matches the Rfam family "Bacterial small subunit ribosomal RNA", at positions 28 to 507 of the family's 1533-position model. The record is from RNAcentral.
GAUGAACGCUAGCGGCAGGCCUAACACAUGCAAGUCGAGGGAGAAGCCCUUUCGGGGGCAGAAACCGGCGCACGGGUGCGUAACGCGUAUGCAACCUACCUUUCACAGGGGGAUAGCCCGAAGAAAUUUGGAUUAAUACCCCAUAAUAUUAUUGGAUGGCAUCAUUUGAUAAUUAAAACUGCGGUGGUGAAAGAUGGGCAUGCGUCCUAUUAGCUAGUUGGAGUGGUAACGGCACCCCAAGGCUACGAUAGGUAGGGGUCCUGAGAGGGAGAUCCCCCACACUGGUACUGAGACAGGGACCAGACUCCUACGGGAGGCAGCAGUGAGGAAUAUUGGCCAAUGGUCGGAAGACUGAACCAGCCAUGCCGCGUGCAGGAAGAAUGCCUUAUGGGUUGUAAACUGCUUUUAUAUGGGAAGAAUAAGGCGUACGUGUACGUUGAUGACGGUACCAUAUGAAUAAGCAUCGGCUAACUCCGUG